CUCGCUGCUGUGGUCCACAGCUUCAUUCCUUGAAGCCCGUGAGACACGAACGCUUCCAUUGAGAAAAACCUUCCAUCAGAAGAAGACUUCUCGUCUCAGUGGGACUGCUGAGUUGAAUGGGUGAUGCACCGAACUACCCAGUUCUCUCCCUUAGGAGUUUUCCUCUUUUUUCAAACCUGAGAAGCAAAAGUGCCAUAACAAUUGUGAAACGAUUCAGAAGAAGAAUGUCAGCUUUUGACAAGUCAACUUUUAUCUCACUUGAAGGGACAGGAGGAAAUCAGCAGAUGAAAGGAGAAUUGAU
Molecule: long non-coding RNA, 301 nt
Filed under: Homo sapiens (human)
Lineage: Eukaryota; Metazoa; Chordata; Mammalia; Primates; Hominidae
Description: non-protein coding LINC02328:57
Source: RNAcentral